Molecule: ribosomal RNA, 70 nt
Filed under: Asterochloris erici
Lineage: Eukaryota; Viridiplantae; Chlorophyta; Trebouxiophyceae; Trebouxiales; Trebouxiaceae
Also listed under: 1 other name
Description: partial 28S ribosomal RNA
Rfam family: Eukaryotic large subunit ribosomal RNA
Source: RNAcentral
UAGACCUGAGGUCAGGCAAGACCACCCGCUGAACUUAAGCAUAUCAAUAAGCGGAGGAAAAGAAACUAAC